This 75-nucleotide transfer RNA is filed under the name bacterium. RNAcentral's name for it is "tRNA-Glu". It matches the Rfam family "tRNA". From Rfam's summary of the family: Transfer RNA (tRNA) molecules are approximately 80 nucleotides in length. Their secondary structure includes four short double-helical elements and three loops (D, anti-codon, and T loops). The record is from RNAcentral.
GGCCCCGUCGUCUAGCCCGGUCUAGGACAUCGGCUUUUCAAGCCGCGAACACGGGUUCGAAUCCCGUCGGGGCUA